UCUCUCUCAUCCCUCCAAAGUUCUCCUCUCUCUCUAAACCUCCCCAAAGUCGGGCGAGAAUCCCACUGUCGAUCGCAGUAUUGCCGCCGCGCCGAGCGCCGGGCGCCGUCUCCGGUGGUCACUUGAGCCUAAAUCACACCAAUCGGAUCACCUCAACGCUCGGAGUUCAUAUUGGGGCACAGUUUUGUGAGAAACAACCCAUAACUCCACGAAAUAGGCCUAGAACCUCUCGGCUUCCAACACUCUGAUCUCCACCGUCCACUGUUGGAUCACCUCGGCUCUGAGCUAUGUAGUUCGCCUCCUUUAUGUGCUUCUCCUCACUGCUUGGAUUGGGCGAUAAAGACUCCAAACGUCGGUCAGUGGUUCGAUUGAAAGAAAAGCUUGAAGGAAAAGCUUUCCUAUCAAAGAGGGACCACAGGUUGAAGCCGAUGGGUAAAGGGGACCACCAGCAGUACGAGUCGAGGCCCACGUGAAGAAGGGGAAGCUGAAUGGCCUCUGUUGGAAGCUGCGAAGGCGCUACAUGGCUAGGGUUUCCAAAGACCUAAUUAGUGGAGGAAACAGGGCCGUUGAUUGUCCUCGAUCGAACAGAUACAAUGAAAGCGGCGCUAGGGUUAGUGGAAACCUUAAUCUGAUUAGGGUUUGCACGUGGGCCUGUUGGGCUUUGUAAAAGGGAUAUGUAAAUGGGAUUUGGGUCUUGUGUAUAAUGGGUUAUUGGACUUGAAAAUGGACUUUUAAAGGUUUGGUUUU
Molecule: long non-coding RNA, 747 nt
Organism: Hibiscus syriacus
Lineage: Eukaryota; Viridiplantae; Streptophyta; Magnoliopsida; Malvales; Malvaceae
Exons: 2
Source: RefSeq, a predicted model, not a curated record